GUGCUGGCUUUGGCAGCACACACACUAAAAAGUGGAACAAUACAGAGAUUGACAUGGCCCCUUGCAUACGGAUGACAUGCAAGUUCAUGAUACAUUCUGAACCUUA
This 106-nucleotide small nuclear RNA is filed under the name Propithecus coquereli (Coquerel's sifaka). The record is from RNAcentral. Lineage: Eukaryota; Metazoa; Chordata; Mammalia; Primates; Indriidae.